GGAGUCACGCGAAGUCGGAAGUACCAGCUGCGGGAAGGAGCUGCCCACUGUGCGUCUUCUCAACUUGUUGGGACAACCUUCCUGCGGAAAGGAGAGACAACCUUCCUGCAGAAAGGAGCUACCUGCUUCAGGUCUACUGAGAGCUGUUCUGCCACUCAAUAAAGCUCUUCUCCAUCUUGCUAAGCCUCCAUUUGUCCGCAAUACCUCAUCUCCCUGGACGCAGGACAAGAACUCAGGACCCGCCUGGAGGUGCCCACAGCAGAAUCCACAUGCCGUCCAUCUGGUCCAGCCUCACGCAGAGCCACAACUGUGCUGGCGCCUGGAGCUGCCAGCCCCACUGCAGCAGCCGGACUGACAUUCAGACGUGGAGCAAGUUGGACUGCAUAGGGACCCACCAGUGAGAUGGACGCUGUCUGUAAACGAUGACUUCUAGGAAGAAAAGAAAAAAUUCUGAUUAAACAGCCAUAUUCAUGCUGGAAGUCUACACUUUGAAUUUCUUGCACUCCAAGAUUCUAACUGUUGACCAGUUAUCAGCUGACAUUCUAUAUAUGUUUGAUGAGUAGCUGAAUGGCUGAAAAGAUUAGUGCAAACUAAAGAAUUACUAAAGUCCUGAAUGUGAUGUUUGGUUAUGUCUAUAAUUUAUAGAAUUUUCCCUAUUAUUUUAAAUGCUAACAUUUCAUGGAAGUAUAUUUGAAUAUAAAAGAUUAUAAAAUUACUAAUCCAGCAUUUUAAAAAUCCCCUGCUGAAUUUCUUAGAAGCAGAUAUAAAUAAUAUAUUCUCUAGGUAAUUUCAUGUAUUUAUUUUUUUCUUUCAUGUUCUAAUUUUGUUGAGACAAAAGGAGGGCUUUUUCUUUCAACCAAAAUAAUCAGAAAUCUUAUCAGUUUAGUAAUUAGGGAUUGAAAUACAAAGCUAGUGAAGUAAGGCUACAUUGCAAAGUCUGAUAGUGUACAGUAGUUUAAUGUUUAUUUCUCUGGCAUCAUGUCCUCUCUGUAAGAGAAUGUGUUGGAAGGUAAGCACAAAUAGUUUUUUGCUUGACAUGCUGUAUUUCGUCAUGCUGCUAAUUAGCACAAACACUUACUCCAAGAAGUGAAAUCAUUACUUUCUCUGGGAGUAACUGAGAGGUUCUUUGUAGUGGAGAAAAAGCCCAGGUGUCCAGCUUGAAAUAGCAAUUACCACCCAGGUGUCUGUCGUAGUAACAACAAAAUACUUUAGCUAAAAAUCCAAGAAGAAGAAUGGAACUGCUUCAUUCUUUCUAUGUUGGAUGGCAUUCACGAAUAUGUAUUAGUAAAUAAAAUAAUUAUCUCUUGCUGUGUAAAAAACUACUUCAAAAUUUAGCAGCUUAAAACAGCAAGCAUUUAUUAUCUCACAUGGUUUCUGAGAGUCAGAAAUCUGGGAGCAGCUGAGCUGGGUGGCUCUAGCUCUGGACGUCUUGUGAGGUUUUACUCCAGCCGUUGCCUGGACAGUCACCUGAAGCUUAGCUGGGGCUGGAGGGUCUGCUUGCAAGCUCCCUCCUCUGGCUGUUGGCAGAAGGCCUCAGUUUCUCACUAUGUGGGCCUCUCCGUAGGACUGCUUGCAACAAGGCAGCUGGUUUCUCUCAGGGUGAAUUAUGAGAGAGAAAGAGAUAAAAAUUGAACGUCUUUUAUAGCAUAAUACCAUCCCUUCUACUAUAUCCUGUUGGUCACAUUGACCAACUCUGGCACAAUGCAGGAAGGAACUACAAAGAGUGUGAAUUCAGGAGGUGGAGACUAUUGGGGGCCAUCUUGGAAGCUGAUAAUCACCAGGUACUAAACUUGUUCCAGGAAGUACCCCAGGCAUAGAUAAUACAUGUAUGAAUAGGACAAUUUAUUUAUUCCUUUUAUUAGUCUUGUGAUCAAUAGAACAUGUAUUUAAUAUCUACUAUAUGCCAGCAUCUGUGUUACACAAAAGGUAUUCUAAAGUAAAUAAGACAUGAGCUUAUCCUUAUAUUCUGGCGGGAGAGAUAAAUAUGUCAGUAAAUAGACAAUGGUGUUCCACUCUAACAUAAAAGAGAUUACACUAAGUAUUGUAGGGGCAUUUUGGAGAGAGGUUGCGUAGAGAAUGUGCAAAGUUGAGCAAUUGCUCCGAAGUGCAUUUGAGUAGGAUAGACAGAGCGAUUAGCGUUGAGAGCUACAGCCACUCAGUAUUUUAGAAGAAUGAAAUAGCAUGCAUAUAGAUUUACUUUUGCAAAUACAGGUGCAACAGUGUCUCUUGCCCUAUGUGCUCUUCUUCAACGUGACCUGGACAUUUUCCCAUCUAGAAUUGGGAUCUAUUUCUCUGUGCUCUUAAAUCUGAGGGUCUUGGGAACUGCCUUCACUAAUAGACUAUGGUAGAA
RNAcentral lists this long non-coding RNA (2350 nucleotides) under Homo sapiens (human). RNAcentral describes it as "non-protein coding LINC01579:19". Lineage: Eukaryota; Metazoa; Chordata; Mammalia; Primates; Hominidae. The record is from RNAcentral.